GACGCUGGCGGCGUGCCUAACACAUGCAAGUCGAGCGGGAUGAUGUAAGGAAGUUUCGGAUGGAAUCACAUUAUUUAGCGGCGGACGGGUGAGUAACGCGUGAGCGACCAACCUUGCACAGGGGAUAACGGACCGAAAGGUUCACUAAUACCGCAUGAGACCACGGUGUUGCAUGACACAGGGGUCAAAGGAGCAAUCCGGUGCAAGACGGGCUCGCGUCCGAUUAGGUAGUUGGUGGGGUAAUGGCCCACCAAGCCUAUGAUCGGUAGCCGACCUGAGAGGGUGAUCGGCCACAUUGGAACUGAGAUACGGUCCGAACUCCUACGGGAGGCAGCAGUGGGGAAUAUUGGGCAAUGGGGGGAAACCCUGACCCAGCAACGCCGCGUGAAGGAAGAAGGUUUUCGGAUUGUAAACUUCUGUCCUUGGUGAAGAGAAGAAGACGGUAGCCAAGGAGGAAGCCCCGGCUAACUACGUGCCAGCAGCUGC
This 486-nucleotide ribosomal RNA is filed under the name uncultured bacterium. Its description in RNAcentral is "bacterial SSU rRNA". It matches the Rfam family "Bacterial small subunit ribosomal RNA", at positions 33 to 518 of the family's 1533-position model. The record is from RNAcentral.